CCUACGGGAGGCUGCAGUGGGGAAUAUUGGGCAAUGGGCGCAAGCCUGACCCAGCAACGCCGCGUGAAGGAAGAAGGCUUUCGGGUUGUAAACUUCUUUUUGGAGGGGAGAGCAGACGACGGUACCUCUUGAAUAAGACACGGCUAACUAAGUGCCAGCAGCCGCGGUCAUACGUAGGUGGCAAGCGUUGUCCGGAUUUACUGGGUGUAAAGGGCGUGCAGCCGGGAAGACAAGUCAGCUGUAAAAUCGCGCGGCUCAACCGCGUCCCGCAGUUGAAACUGGCCGCCUUGAGUACACAACAGGCAGGCGGAAUGCGUGGUGUAGCGGUGAAAUGCAUAGAUAUCACGAGGAACCCCGAUGGCGAAGGCAGCCUGCCGGGGUGCGACUGACGCUGAGGCUCGAAGGUGCGGGUAUCAAACAGGAUUAGAUACCCUAGUAGUC
RNAcentral lists this ribosomal RNA (441 nucleotides) under uncultured bacterium. Its description in RNAcentral is "partial 16S ribosomal RNA". It matches the Rfam family "Bacterial small subunit ribosomal RNA", at positions 338 to 795 of the family's 1533-position model. The record is from RNAcentral.